This 1722-nucleotide long non-coding RNA is filed under the name Daphnia pulicaria. Its description in RNAcentral is "uncharacterized LOC124338371, transcript variant X3". The record is from RNAcentral. Lineage: Eukaryota; Metazoa; Arthropoda; Branchiopoda; Diplostraca; Daphniidae.
AAUACUAAGAAGGAGAGAACUACAACGUCAUCAAAUGUCUUUGUCAUUUCACCCGAUUUGUGAGCGAGAUGGAACAUCUGUGAGACUGCAGCUAAAUGAACAGGAGGAGAAACAAAGCACCAGAACCCAGAAGACAUUUUACUCAAUUAAGUUCCUUUCGAUUAGUUUGACUCCUCUGAAAGUCAGAUCAAUCCUGCCAAGCAAAAUGGAGCCCGAGGAGGUUGAUUCGACUCCACACAAUUCUGGUAACUGAAUAGGGAAGAUAAAAGUUGCCUCUGCAGAGGCAAUAGUAGAAACCGAAUUCACUGAACGUGGACAUCAUCAAAUUGGUGUUAGAGAAUGCUCAACUGCUCAGAAGAUCAAGACAAUUUCGAUACAGACACUGAUGUGAUGGCCGAGUCUACCACAACGGCAUUGAACCGUUGGCAACAGUCAAGUCCCAUUCGUUCACCCUGGGACGUAGAGCAGCGAUUGAGACUAUUGUGGCGCGAGUAUUUGUCUUUGGUGGUUAGCAUGCAGCUAAAUAAAAAUGGGUGACGGUGGCUGAAGCAGCAACAUUCCUAGCUCUCAAUAGCCAGGAGUCUAGGACCGCGGGAUAGCGGAGGCGAUAACAACGAAGAAUAACGAACUCGUUAUCAUCUCUGGCUCUCGACAAUUGUGAAAAAUGUCACCAGUUUCUUUUCCCCCGCACGGAAUCCAUUCUUCCAAUUCAGCCAAUCAAUUCCGCAACAUACCAACAACGACCAACAACAUCAGUAGCCGGCAGUAACGUUGGAAAACUUCCAGGAACUCCACCCAGACCUGAACCUUUGGCUGUUCCCGGUUGGUAGACCACGUAAUCUCCCGCCAACUUGGAGGGUUUUUACGCGUAUUGGGCAUGUCAGGAGGAAGGAACUGCUUCCGUGAGGCACCUGGUAGAGAAAUUUCGCACUACUUUAUGGAAUCCCAUUACUUCAGUCGUCUGCUUCAUUCACGCGUCGUCGUGGCUUUCAACAUGGCGAUUGAUCAUUUUUGUUCGUGCUCUUUUGUGGAUCUUCAAAACAAAAUGUCAAGCUUCCUCAUUCCAAUGUUGUUGUUUUGGAGUGGUGGUGUCGUGGAGAUCUUGUUGCCUGAUCUUGUCCUUAUCAUUUUGGUCACAUUUUCCCAGGAGAAACUGGAUCGGGAAAAUGGACGGCCUAAAGAAAGCAUCCAAGUGAGCCAAAUUGGCAUGACUCCUGAUUGAAGAGAAUAGAUGAGUGGCAACUUUGUCCCGUUGGAGAUUGGCUGGUUGCCAUGAUUGAAACCGAAGUCUAGUGGCAGUUUUUGGACGCCGCCCAUGGAAAGAAGAAUUCUUCCUUUACCAAUUUCACGGCGCUAUACUUGGGUUAAAUUUUAGCAUUGCCUACAUUCAAGCAGUGUCCUCAACAUCGACUGCGUUGACUGAAUGGGUGUGGGUGGGUGACGGCCAUGUUUUGCGGUCGAAUGGCAUCGUCCGUUUGUACCUGAUGUCAGUGAGGUUCCACGACGAGAAAGAGACGCCGAUUAAAUGAGGUGCAGUCCAUUGGCAAUAAGCCAAUAAUCAACGUGGUUCCUGGGUGCCUCCCAUCAAGGUCGAUUGGUGCUCGUACAUUCAGGAUUCUGAUUAUCCUCAUUCGCUCUGAUUUGAUGUUCGACUCACUGUAGAAAAACCUCACGUUGGUUUCUCCAAUUUGCAUCUUCAACACGGGUUACGCAAUCAUUUCA